Long non-coding RNA from Phyllostomus discolor (pale spear-nosed bat), 148 nucleotides. RefSeq lists it as uncharacterized. The record is from RefSeq and is a predicted model, not a curated record. NCBI's taxonomy places the organism in Eukaryota, Metazoa, Chordata, Mammalia, Chiroptera, Phyllostomidae. The transcript has 3 exons.
GAAGAACCCAGCAAAAUGGGGAUCUCCAGAGUCAUCCUUGAAAUGUGUCUAUUGGGUCAAGUUCUAUCUUCAGCUUCUUUGCUUUCCACGGAGGAGCCUCUGAUGACAGCUGCAGAAGCUGCUCAGUCCCAGGCAACAUUCUGGCCAG